UACGUAGGGUGCAAGCGUUAAUCGGAAUUACUGGGCGUAAAGCGCGGACAGGCGGUCUUGCCAGUCUGAUGUGAAAUCUCCUCGCUCAACGGGGAGCAGCCAUUGGAAACUACAAGACUGGAGUCUGGCAGAGGUAGGCGGAAUUCCGGGUGGAGUGGUGAAAUGCGUAGAGAUCCGGAGGAACACCAGAGGCGAAGGCGGCCUACUGGGCCAGUACUGACGCUGAGCCGCGAAAGCCAGGGGAGCGAACGGG
RNAcentral lists this ribosomal RNA (253 nucleotides) under uncultured bacterium. Its description in RNAcentral is "partial 16S ribosomal RNA". It matches the Rfam family "Bacterial small subunit ribosomal RNA", at positions 524 to 776 of the family's 1533-position model. The record is from RNAcentral.